CUGGAUUUGACACAAUUGGCUCAAUAAAUUACUUUGUCAUUCCUGGAUCAAACGAUGGCAGCCUCAACUCCACAAGUAAUGUAAACACUCCAGGUCGUUGGGUUUUUUCUCUGAAUAAAGAAAACGUGGUAGGACUUCAAAUGAAAGUCACUUCAUUGUUAGACCUAACAGACAAUGGAAACCUUGCAUUUGUUAUGCAGAAACUAAAUGAUGAGCUGGUUAAUCGUGGCAUCCCGAGUUAUGUGCAGGUGACUGCACGCAGAGUCCAGAAGACUCCGUAAAAUAACCUUCAUAAUACAGAGGCAAAUGAAAACCAGUUUUAGUCUCUGACAGCAGAUAGUCAAAAUAAUAAAGAAAAAAAUGAUGUUGCUUCUCAGGAUGAGGAG
Molecule: non-coding RNA, 386 nt
Organism: Paramisgurnus dabryanus
Lineage: Eukaryota; Metazoa; Chordata; Actinopteri; Cypriniformes; Cobitidae
Source: RefSeq, a predicted model, not a curated record